GCCGUCUUAGCUCAGCAGGCAGAGCACUUGACUUGUAAUCAUGAGGUCUCCGGUUCGAUUCCGGAAGACGGCU
This 73-nucleotide transfer RNA is filed under the name Spirochaetaceae bacterium. Its description in RNAcentral is "tRNA-Thr". It matches the Rfam family "tRNA". Rfam says of the family: Transfer RNA (tRNA) molecules are approximately 80 nucleotides in length. Their secondary structure includes four short double-helical elements and three loops (D, anti-codon, and T loops). The record is from RNAcentral. Lineage: Bacteria; Pseudomonadati; Spirochaetota; Spirochaetia; Spirochaetales; Spirochaetaceae.